AGAAGACACAUCCAGGCACGUAGCUAAAAUGGAAACGGCUACGGCGGUUGUGGAGUCGGUGGCUGGAAGUUUAUCGUCUGCUGAUAAUCGACACGGUCAAGAAAAAAAGAUGAGUAAGGACCUCUUAUUUGGAAGAACUGGAGAAACCAUUAAAAAAA
Molecule: long non-coding RNA, 158 nt
Organism: Bombus impatiens (common eastern bumble bee)
Lineage: Eukaryota; Metazoa; Arthropoda; Insecta; Hymenoptera; Apidae
Exons: 2
Source: RefSeq, a predicted model, not a curated record